This 260-nucleotide ribosomal RNA is filed under the name Chromohalobacter israelensis. RNAcentral describes it as "partial 16S ribosomal RNA". It matches the Rfam family "Bacterial small subunit ribosomal RNA", at positions 1277 to 1533 of the family's 1533-position model. The record is from RNAcentral. Lineage: Bacteria; Pseudomonadati; Pseudomonadota; Gammaproteobacteria; Oceanospirillales; Halomonadaceae.
GAAAGCCGGCCUCAGUCCGGAUUGGAGUCUGCAACUCGACUCCAUGAAGUCGGAAUCGCUAGUAAUCGUGCAUCAGAAUGGCACGGUGAAUACGUUCCCGGGCCUUGUACACACCGCCCGUCACACCAUGGGAGUGGACUGCACCAGAAGUGGUUAGCCUAACUUCGGAGGGCGAUCACCACGGUGUGGUUCAUGACUGGGGUGAAGUCGUAACAAGGUAGCCGUAGGGGAACCUGCGGCUGGAUCACCUCCUUAAACGA